UACGUAGGGUGCAAGCGUUAUCCGGAUUUACUGGGUGUAAAGGGCGAGUAGACGGCAUAGUAAGUCAGAUGUGAAAACUCAGUGCUCAACAUUGAGCGUGCAUCUGAAACUGCUGAGCUAGAGUGCAGGAGAGGAAAACGGAAUUCCUAGUGUAGCGGUGAAAUGCGUAGAUAUUAGGAGGAACACCAGUGGCGAAGGCGGUUUUCUGGACUGUAACUGACGUUGAGGAGCGAAAGUGUGGGGAGCAAAC
RNAcentral lists this ribosomal RNA (250 nucleotides) under uncultured prokaryote. RNAcentral's name for it is "partial 16S ribosomal RNA". It matches the Rfam family "Bacterial small subunit ribosomal RNA", at positions 524 to 773 of the family's 1533-position model. The record is from RNAcentral.